RNAcentral lists this long non-coding RNA (209 nucleotides) under Elaeis guineensis (African oil palm). RNAcentral describes it as "long non-coding RNA (EGUI_LNC004303)". Lineage: Eukaryota; Viridiplantae; Streptophyta; Magnoliopsida; Arecales; Arecaceae. The record is from RNAcentral.
UCUUAUGUUUAUUUUUUUUAUGUUAUCAUAUUAAAAUUAUUUUUUGUUGGAUUUUCGAACAUUAUGUUUUGCUCGUUGAGAUUGGUUAAUCUAUUUUUUUUAUCCGUUAAGCAUGGUUUGCUAUGUGAUUAGAGAUUUUUAAAGUUGGACUAGCCCAAACGACUAGUCCAUGGGCUUAUAAAAUGGGUAUGUGAUGGAGAGAUUUCCAC